UCACCUGUUUUUCAAAAACAUGUCUUAAAGAAUUAUAAUUUUAAGUCUAAUCUGCUCAAUGAAUUUAAAUAAUUUAAAUAGCUGCAGUAUAAAUAACUGUACUAAGGUAGCAUAAUAAUUUGUUUUUUAAUUAAAAACUAGAAUAAAUGAUUUAAUGAAAUAUAAACUGUCUCAAAAUAAUUGAAUAAAAUUUUUUUUUAAGUAAAAAAACUUAAAUAAAUUUUAUAGACGAGAAGACCCUAAAGAAUUUCUUUAUUUUUAUUUUUUUUUUAAAAAUUUAAAUAAUUUAAUUGGGGAAAUUUUAAAAUUUAAUUAAUUUUUAACUAAUCAAACAAAUAUUCUUGAAUAUUAAUAUUUUUUAAAAAAUUUAAUUUAAAUUACCUUAGGGAUAACAGCAUAAUUUUUUUUUAAAGUUCAAAUUUAUAUUAAAGUUUAUGACCUCG
RNAcentral lists this ribosomal RNA (443 nucleotides) under Apanteles opacus. Its description in RNAcentral is "partial 16S ribosomal RNA". Lineage: Eukaryota; Metazoa; Arthropoda; Insecta; Hymenoptera; Braconidae. The record is from RNAcentral.